RNAcentral lists this long non-coding RNA (231 nucleotides) under Nicotiana benthamiana. RNAcentral describes it as "long non-coding RNA (NBEN_LNC001048)". The record is from RNAcentral. Lineage: Eukaryota; Viridiplantae; Streptophyta; Magnoliopsida; Solanales; Solanaceae.
AUUUUUUGGGCAAUAUUAUCCUACUAUUUCAAACUGUUUAGUUUAUAUUGUCGCAUUAGCUGAUUUGUUUGUUGAAUUUGGCGAGGGUGAGAAUAUUUAUGAACUUGCUAUAACUGAAAUGAAACAAAAAUUUAAAAAAUAUUUUUUUCCUAUCCCUCCUAGUUUUGAUGUUGCUGCAAUGUUAAAUCCUAUAAUGAAAUUGGGAGGUCCUCAUUUUUGGUAUUCAAAUAU